This 460-nucleotide ribosomal RNA is filed under the name uncultured bacterium. Its description in RNAcentral is "partial 16S ribosomal RNA". It matches the Rfam family "Bacterial small subunit ribosomal RNA", at positions 338 to 795 of the family's 1533-position model. The record is from RNAcentral.
CCUACGGGAGGCAGCAGUGAGGAAUAUUGGUCAAUGGACGAGAGUCUGAACCAGCCAAGUAGCGUGAAGGAUGACUGCCCUAUGGGUUGUAAACUUCUUUUAUAAAGGAAUAAAACGAGGCACGUGUGCCUUUUUGCAUGUACUUUAUGAAUAAGGAUCGGCUAACUCCGUGCCAGCAGCCGCGGUAAUACGGAGGAUCCGAGCGUUAUCCGGAUUUAUUGGGUUUAAAGGGAGCGUAGAUGGGUUGUUAAGUCAGUUGUGAAAGUUUGGGGCUCAACCGUAAAAUUGCAAUUGAUACUGGCAGUCUAGAGUACAGUUGAGGUAGGCGGAAUUCGUGGUGUAGCGGUGAAAUGCUUAGAUAUCACGAAGAACCCCGAUUGCGAAGGCAGCUUACUAAACUGUGACUGACAUUGAUGCUCGAAAGUGUGGGUAUCAAACAGGAUUAGAUACCCUUGUAGUC